This 388-nucleotide ribosomal RNA is filed under the name uncultured organism. RNAcentral describes it as "bacterial SSU rRNA". It matches the Rfam family "Bacterial small subunit ribosomal RNA", at positions 45 to 433 of the family's 1533-position model. The record is from RNAcentral.
UGCCUUACACAUGCAAGUCGAACGGCAGCACGGGGGGUAACCUCUGGUGGCGAGUGGCGAACGGGUGAGUAAUGUAUCGGAACGUACCCUGCAGCGGGGGAUAACGCGUCGAAAGAUGUGCUAAUACCGCAUACGCUCUACGGAGGAAAGCGGAGGACCGCAAGGCUUCGCACUGCAGGAGCGGCCGAUAUCGGAUUAGCUAGUUGGCGGGGUAACGGCCCACCAAGGCGACGAUCCGUAGCUGGUCUGAGAGGACGAUCAGCCACACUGGAACUGACACACGGUCCAGACUCCUACGGGAGGCAGCAGUGGGGAAUUUUGGACAAUGGGCGCAAGCCUGAUCCAGCCAUGCCGCGUGAGUGAAGAAGGCCUUCGGGUUGUAAAGCUC